RNAcentral lists this ribosomal RNA (1530 nucleotides) under Shigella boydii. RNAcentral's name for it is "bacterial SSU rRNA". It matches the Rfam family "Bacterial small subunit ribosomal RNA". Lineage: Bacteria; Pseudomonadati; Pseudomonadota; Gammaproteobacteria; Enterobacterales; Enterobacteriaceae. The record is from RNAcentral.
AGAGUUUGAUCAUGGCUCAGAUUGAACGCUGGCGGCAGGCCUAACACAUGCAAGUCGAACGGUGACAGGAAGCAGCUUGCUGCUUCGCUGACGAGUGGCGGACGGGUGAGUAAUGUCUGGGAAACUGCCUGAUGGAGGGGGAUAACUACUGGAAACGGUAGCUAAUACCGCAUAAUGUCGCAAGACCAAAGAGGGGGACCUUCGGGCCUCUUGCCAUCGGAUGUGCCCAGAUGGGAUUAGCUUGUUGGUGGGGUAACGGCUCACCAAGGCGACGAUCCCUAGCUGGUCUGAGAGGAUGACCAGCCACACUGGAACUGAGACACGGUCCAGACUCCUACGGGAGGCAGCAGUGGGGAAUAUUGCACAAUGGGCGCAAGCCUGAUGCAGCCAUGCCGCGUGUAUGAAGAAGGCCUUCGGGUUGUAAAGUACUUUCAGCGGGGAGGAAGGGAGUAAAGUUAAUACCUUUGCUCAUUGACGUUAUCCGCAGAAGAAGCACCGGCUAACUCCGUGCCAGCAGCCGCGGUAAUACGGAGGGUGCAAGCGUUAAUCGGAAUUACUGGGCGUAAAGCGCACGCAGGCGGUUUGUUAAGUCAGAUGUGAAAUCCCCGGGCUCAACCUGGGAACUGCAUCUGAUACUGGCAAGCUUGAGUCUCGUAGAGGGGGGUAGAAUUCCAGGUGUAGCGGUGAAAUGCGUAGAGAUCUGGAGGAAUACCGGUGGCGAAGGCGGCCCCCUGGACGAAGACUGACGCUCAGGUGCGAAAGCGUGGGGAGCAAACAGGAUUAGAUACCCUGGUAGUCCACGCCGUAAACGAUGUCGACUUGGAGGUUGUGCCCUUGAGGCGUGGCUUCCGGAGCUAACGCGUUAAGUCGACCGCCUGGGGAGUACGGCCGCAAGGUUAAAACUCAAAUGAAUUGACGGGGGCCCGCACAAGCGGUGGAGCAUGUGGUUUAAUUCGAUGCAACGCGAAGAACCUUACCUGGUCUUGACAUCCACGGAAGUUUUCAGAGAUGAGAAUGUGCCUUCGGGAACCGUGAGACAGGUGCUGCAUGGCUGUCGUCAGCUCGUGUUGUGAAAUGUUGGGUUAAGUCCCGCAACGAGCGCAACCCUUAUCCUUUGUUGCCAGCGGUCCGGCCGGGAACUCAAAGGAGACUGCCAGUGAUAAACUGGAGGAAGGUGGGGACGACGUCAAGUCAUCAUGGCCCUUACGACCAGGGCUACACACGUGCUACAAUGGCGCAUACAAAGAGAAGCGACCUCGCGAGAGCAAGCGGACCUCAUAAAGUGCGUCGUAGUCCGGAUUGGAGUCUGCAACUCGACUCCAUGAAGUCGGAAUCGCUAGUAAUCGUGGAUCAGAAUGCCACGGUGAAUACGUUCCCGGGCCUUGUACACACCGCCCGUCACACCAUGGGAGUGGGUUGCAAAAGAAGUAGGUAGCUUAACCUUCGGGAGGGCGCUUACCACUUUGUGAUUCAUGACUGGGGUGAAGUCGUAACAAGGUAACCGUAGGGGAACCUGCGGUUGGAUCACCU